ACUUCGAGCUUCUUUCGGACUUCGUCAAUGUCCGAGCUUCUCCAGUAGUAGGACUUCUACAGUAACCAGACUCCAUCCAAGUUUCUACGUGAUCGACCGCCUUUCGAAUUUCAUCCAGACUUCUACAGUAAGCGAAUUCCAUCCAAACUUCUAUUGCAAGCGAUCUCCAUCCGGACUUUCACGGCAAUCGGUCUCCAUCCGAACUUCUACAGUAAGCAGCCUCCUUCCGAACUCCUACA
Molecule: long non-coding RNA, 239 nt
Filed under: Elaeis guineensis (African oil palm)
Lineage: Eukaryota; Viridiplantae; Streptophyta; Magnoliopsida; Arecales; Arecaceae
Description: long non-coding RNA (EGUI_LNC052938)
Source: RNAcentral